GACGAACGCUGGCGGCGUGCUUAACACAUGCAAGUCGAACGGAAAGGCCCUGCUUUUGUGGGGUGCUCGAGUGGCGAACGGGUGAGUAACGCGUGAGUAACCUGCCCUUGACUUUGGGAUAACUUCAGGAAACUGGGGCUAAUACCGGAUAGGAGCUCCUGCUGCAUGGUGGGGGUUGGAAAGUUUCGGCGGUUGGGGAUGGACUCGCGGCUUAUCAGCUUGUUGGUGGGGUAGUGGCUUACCAAGGCUUUGACGGGUAGCCGGCCUGAGAGGGUGACCGGCCACAUUGGGACUGAGAUACGGCCCAGACUCCUACGGGAGGCAGCAGUGGGGAAUAUUGCACAAUGGGCGGAAGCCUGAUGCAGCAACGCCGCGUGCGGGAUGACGGCCUUCGGGUUGUAAACCGCUUUCGCCUGUGACGAAGCGUGAGUGACGGUAAUGGGUAAAGAAGCACCGGCUAACUACGUGCCAGCAGCCGCGGUGAUACGUAGGGUGCGAGCGUUGUCCGGAUUUAUUGGGCGUAAAGGGCUCGUAGGUGGUUGAUCGCGUCGGAAGUGUAAUCUUGGGGCUUAACCCUGAGCGUGCUUUCGAUACGGGUUGACUUGAGGAAGGUAGGGGAGAAUGGAAUUCCUGGUGGAGCGGUGGAAUGCGCAGAUAUCAGGAGGAACACCAGUGGCGAAGGCGGUUCUCUGGGCCUUUCCUGACGCUGAGGAGCGAAAGCGUGGGGAGCGAACAGGCUUAGAUACCCUGGUAGUCCACGCUGUAAACGGUGGGUACUAGGUGUGGGGUCCAUUCCACGGGUUCCGUGCCGUAGCUAACGCUUUAAGUACCCCGCCUGGGGAGUACGGCCGCAAGGCUAAAACUCAAAGGAAUUGACGGGGCCCCGCACAAGCGGCGGAGCAUGCGGAUUAAUUCGAUGCAACGCGUAGAACCUUACCUGGGUUUGACAUGGAUCGGGAGCGCUCAGAGAUGGGUGUGCCUCUUUUGGGGUCGGUUCACAGGUGGUGCAUGGCUGUCGUCAGCUCGUGUCGUGAGAUGUUGGGUUAAGUCCCGCAACGAGCGCAACCCUUGUUCACUGUUGCCAGCACGUUAUGGUGGGGACUCAGUGGAGACCGCCGGGGUCAACUCGGAGGAAGGUGGGGAUGACGUCAAGUCAUCAUGCCCCUUAUGUCCAGGGCUUCACGCAUGCUACAAUGGCUGGUAUAGAGAGUGGCGAGCCUGUGAGGGUGAGCGAAUCUCGGAAAGCCGGUCUCAGUUCGGAUUGGGGUCUGCAACUCGACCUCAUGAAGUCGGAGUCGCUAGUAAUCGCAGAUCAGCAACGCUGCGGUGAAUACGUUCCCGGG
Molecule: ribosomal RNA, 1343 nt
Filed under: uncultured bacterium
Lineage: Bacteria
Description: 16S ribosomal RNA
Rfam family: Bacterial small subunit ribosomal RNA
Source: RNAcentral